Molecule: long non-coding RNA, 232 nt
Organism: Vicia villosa (hairy vetch)
Lineage: Eukaryota; Viridiplantae; Streptophyta; Magnoliopsida; Fabales; Fabaceae
Exons: 3
Source: RefSeq, a predicted model, not a curated record
CCGGACUAAAUCAAACAACAUUACUUGGAUCAAAGUGCAGUGUCCGAUACAGCGAAACAGUUCAGAUUGCGGAUACUAUGUUUUGAGGUUUAUGAAAGAAAUCCUUCAAACGAAUCAAUUAGAGAUUCCAAUCACGUACUUUGACGACUUCUAUGCUGCUUCUUACACGAGACUUAAGUUGGAAGAAAUCAAAGAGGAUUUGUGUCAAUUUUAUAUUCAUCAGCUAUUCAUG